UACGAGUGGUGCAAGCGUUAUUCGGAAUAAUUGGGCGUACAGGGUGCGUAGACGGUAUGUUAAGUCUGCUGUUAAAUCCUCCGGCUUAACCGGAGAUAUGCGGUGGAAACUGGCGUACUAGAGGGUGGAAGAGAGAAGUGGAAUUCUCGGUGUAGCGGUAAAAUGCGUAGAUAUCGAGAGGAACACCGAUGGCGAAGGCAGCUUCUUGGUCCAUUCCUGACGUUGAGGCACGAAAGCGUGGGGAGCAAACAGG
This 253-nucleotide ribosomal RNA is filed under the name uncultured bacterium. RNAcentral describes it as "partial 16S ribosomal RNA". It matches the Rfam family "Bacterial small subunit ribosomal RNA", at positions 524 to 776 of the family's 1533-position model. The record is from RNAcentral.